CUCCACGUAGCGCACAGGCUUUGGCCGCUGGGGGUGUGGUCUCAUGAACAAGAGGUGACGUAGUGGCGGCUGCUCCCUGCGCCUGAGCUUCAGGCAGAGCCCUCUGCGAGUGGUGCCUUUCGAAGCCAGAGCGGCCCGGAAAGCUCCUGGACACCCCCCCCCCCGUGUCGGUGAAACCUGAGUGUUUAAUUUUAACUGUACCACGAAUUCAGCAUCGCAAGGGCACUCGCGGGGUCGCUCCACUGUGCAGCAAGAGGCUUUACUUAUCGGUUACUGUGUCGCUUCUUCUACAGCUUGUCGGGCUGCUCUGUACCGGACACUAGGGUAGGAGUUAAGGAUACACAAGUAAAAAGGAUGGGUUGCGAACUCUUGUUCGUGCAGGAAAAACAUGUUGGUUACUUUCUAUAGUAGUGAUUUUCCCUGGUAGCUUUACAGCUCGUAGUUGAAACCCUGCGUUCUUGAAUAUACCAAGAGCUUUGUUCAAGAAGCCGAUUUAACCCAUGAAGUUUAAAACGCAGACCACCUUAAAAGCUGUUAAAUGAAGAAUUUGCAUCCCAUUCCGGAGGUGUUUAUCAAAUGUUUUCCGUGUAUUUUUUUUUGGAAGACAUCAGUGCGGAAGAGCUAGGUAUGCAGACUCUGGGACCUGCCUGCCUGGAUCUGUCACUGGCUGUAUGACCGUGGAGAGACAGAGAGAAAACAUGAUCGGGGAGGAGCAGAGAGAAAGGGAAAGAGAAAAUCCCAAGCAGAGUCUGCAAUAUCAGCACAGAACCGGAUGUGGGGCUCGAACUCACGAACUGUGAGACCAUGACCUGUGCCGAAAUCAAAAGUCGGAUGCUUAAUUGACUGAGCCACGCAGGCGCCCCUGAACCUUGGAUUUUUGAAACCUCAAUGGCUAGCAACAAAAAAAGCAAAUGAAAACACUAUCAGCUGAAACCUGGUUUCUGUUUCUCAAGAGGUGGGAUCAUCGAUACUUCUCUAGAAAAAACAGUUCCUUUGUUGUGAGAAACCAUCUAAAUGAGUUUAUUUAUGCAAGCGUAAAGCAAAAACCCAUUUUAUUUUUUAAUGUUUUUAAAAUAUUAUUUAUCUUGCCCCUGAGGUUUUUUUUUAAGUUUUUUUUAUUUUGAGAGAGAGAGAGAGAGAGAGAGAGAGAACAUUAGUGUGUGUGUGAGUGGGGGAGGGGCAGAGAGAGAGGGAGAGAGAGAGAAUCCCAAGCAGGCUCCGUGCUGUCAGUGCAGAGCCCGACUCAGGGCUUGAAGUGGGGCUUGAUUUACCCAAACUAUGAAAUUUGAAGUGGGGUUCAUGGGCAAAUGGCUAAGAAAGAAUUCUUGAGACGUUUUUGGUGCAAAGGCGUGAUUUUAUUCAAGCACAGGGACAGGACCCGUGGGCAGAAAGAGCUGUACGUGCAAGUGGGAGGGGUGGCUGAUGAUGUAGUUUAAUUUGUGGAGGGAGUGGGGUAGAGGUAACGCAGGUUACUAAGGAAUUUUUGUAUGCUGAAGUCAGGGUCUUAUAGGACCUUGAAUAUUUGGCUUUCGUCAAGAUACCAUUAUUUUCAGUUUUUAGUGAAGUAUAAACAUUAAGGCAUUAAGGCAGCCAUGAACUUCUCAAAGAAUGUCACACGCUGCGCGUCUCAGGUAUCAGUGGCUGCAAGCUGUUAGGAGAUUUACCUAAAAUACAUUUUUCUUGCCUUUGUUCUCCUCAUCAUUUCCCCCCCUGAACAAUUUUGACCCUUAAAUCUUUAAGGUUGCUGGGGGUGGAAGGCCUUAUCUUCUGUAACUUCUUCCUGCUGAAUAGGGGCGUAGAGAUGUUCCUACCUAUGGGUCAACAUUGGUCAGUUAAGGAUGUGGGAGUUAAGAAAGGGAGAGGCAGCCAAAUCCAAGGUGGAUUGGAUACAUGAAUCUCCUUGAGUAGAAAGGAUCAUCUGUUGACUUGCAGUUUUUGUAGUGAUGGAGUCUUGGGACCAAGCAAAAAACAAAACAAAACAAAACAAAAAAACAUUGAAGAAAACAGCAUAUUAGAAUUAAAGCAGUUGAGGCCCCUGGGUCUCAGUUGGUUAAGCGUCUGACUUUGGCCCAGGUCAUGAUCGUGGUUUGUGAGUUCAAGCCCUGCAUCGAGGUCUGUGCUGACAGCUCAGAGCUUGGAACCUGCUUCAGAUUCUGUGUUUCCCUCUCUCUCUGCCCCUCCCUGGCUCGCACUCCGUCUCUCUCUCUCUCUCUCUC
Long non-coding RNA from Acinonyx jubatus (cheetah), 2216 nucleotides. RefSeq lists it as uncharacterized. The record is from RefSeq and is a predicted model, not a curated record. Lineage: Eukaryota; Metazoa; Chordata; Mammalia; Carnivora; Felidae. The transcript is spliced from 2 exons.